RNAcentral lists this ribosomal RNA (245 nucleotides) under uncultured bacterium. RNAcentral's name for it is "partial 16S ribosomal RNA". It matches the Rfam family "Bacterial small subunit ribosomal RNA", at positions 88 to 334 of the family's 1533-position model. The record is from RNAcentral. RNAcentral also lists the same sequence under 1 other name.
UGCUCGAGUGGCGAACGGGUGAGUAACACGUGAGUAACCUGCCCUUGACUUUGGGAUAACUUCAGGAAACUGGGGCUAAUACCGGAUAGGAGCUCCUGCUGCAUGGUGGGGGUUGGAAAGUUUCGGCGGUUGGGGAUGGACUCGCGGCUUAUCAGCUUGUUGGUGGGGUAGUGGCUUACCAAGGCUUUGACGGGUAGCCGGCCUGAGAGGGUGACCGGCCACAUUGGGACUGAGAUACGGCCCAG